This 463-nucleotide ribosomal RNA is filed under the name uncultured bacterium. RNAcentral's name for it is "bacterial SSU rRNA". It matches the Rfam family "Bacterial small subunit ribosomal RNA", at positions 29 to 506 of the family's 1533-position model. The record is from RNAcentral.
ACGAACGUUGGCGGCGUGGAUUAGGCAUGCAAGUCGAACGGAAAGGCCCCGCAAGGGGUACUCGAGUGGCGAAAGGGGCAGUAAUGCGUGGGUAACCUACCCCGGGGAUCGGGACAAUCACGUAAUAGUGGUAAAUACCGGGCGAUCUAGCGAAGUCGCAUGACCUUGCUAGGAAACGAAUUUCGCCUCGGGAGGGGCUCACGUGGUAUUAGCUUGUUGGUAGGGUAACGGCCUACCAAGGCAAAGAUGCCUAGCAGGCGUGAGAGCGUGACCUGCGCCACUGGCACUGAGACACUGGCCAGACUCCUACGGGAGGCUGCAGUCGAGGAUCUUCGGCAAUGGGCGCAAGCCUGACCGAGCGACGCCGCGUGUGCGAUGAAGGCCUUCGGGUUGUAAAGCACUGUCGAGGGGGAGGAAGGCGAAAGCUUGACCUAUCCCUGGAGGAAGCACGGGCUAAGUUCGU